Lathyrus oleraceus (garden pea) is the source of this 3623-nucleotide RNA transcript. RefSeq lists it as uncharacterized. NCBI's taxonomy places the organism in Eukaryota, Viridiplantae, Streptophyta, Magnoliopsida, Fabales, Fabaceae. The transcript is spliced from 14 exons. The record is from RefSeq and is a predicted model, not a curated record.
AGGAUCAUUUUUCAACAAUCAAUAAGGCAAAAGGAGAAAAAAACGAUUCCUUGUGGGUAAAAUUGUAAUUGACUUAAAGCGUGGGAUGAUGUAGUAAAUCGUGCUGUUCAAUUAGGGCAUGCUUCAAGUAGGCUCUGAACCCAACCAACCAAACCACAGGUUUGUUGUUUAGUGCAGUCAGUCCGAACUCGAAUUCUCGGCUCCACAUAGCAGCGUUCAGAAUCAAAACCUAUCCAUUUCCAAUCGCUUAUUCCUCUUUAUGCUCCGAUUCGUGCCCUAAACUAAACCUAAGUGCUGCUCUCGAAUUCGCCACCACAAUCUCCGCCACAAACUAUCUUCUCCGUUCGGAAUCUCUCGCCGUUUGAAGAUGUCGGGCGGUUUCUUUCGAGGUACAUCUGCGGAUCAAGACACCCGAUUUUCGAACAAGCAAGCGAAGCUGCUUAAAUCGCAGAAGUUUGCACCAGAAUUGGAGCAUUUGGUGGACAUGACGAAGGUGAAUAUGGAAGUAAUGAGGCCUUGGAUCACCAGAAAAGUGACCGAGCUUCUUGGGUUUGAAGAUGAAGUGCUUAUUAACUUCAUACACGGUCUUCUGGAUGCUAAGAAAGUGAACGGGAAGGAAGUUCAAAUACAAAUUACUGGAUUCAUGGAAAAGAACACUGGCAAGUUCAUGAAAGAGCUCUGGACACUUCUUCUCAGUGCACAGAAAAAUGCCAGUGGUGUUCCUCAGCAGUUCUUGGAUGCUAAAGAAGAAGAGCUCCUGAAAAAGAAGGCUGAAAAUGAUAGAAUAUCAACUGAAAUUCAGAGGAAGAAAGAUAAGGAAAGCAAAGAGAUCAUGGAGGAGAGGCUGAAGAAACUGGACGGAGGAUUAGAUGCAAAGGAAAAUGAUACUGCUUCAGAUCCAACUUUGAAGCUCAGGGACUCGGGGAACUAUGUUCAGGAUGGGAAAGAAACUGACAAGAGGAAUGGUGUUAGAGUAAGGAACAGGUCCUCACAUUCACCUGCAAUUUCCACCUCGCCUUAUCGAGGCUCACCUUCAAGGGCAAACAGUAAAUCAUUUUCAAAUUCCCGAAGUUAUUCAAGGAGUAUAUCCAGAUCACCGAAGGCUCGCGGACGUUCAGUUUCUUCUGAAAGGAUACAGCGUUCUUCACGACGCCAAUCUAUUUCUCCCCGAAGGCGUUCACCCCAACGAUCUCCCCACAGGAGGCUAUCUUAUUCAAGGAGAAGAUCUAGAUCUAGGUCAGACUCCAAAUCUCCUUCUCCUAUACGACGCGGAAUGCAUUCUCCAGUACGACGACGCAGAUCACCCUCUCCAGUACGAAGACGCAGAUCACCCUCUCCAGUACGAAGACGCAGAUCACCCUCUCCAGUACGAAGACGGAGAUCACCCUCUCCAGUACGAAGACGCAGAUCACCACCCUCUCCAGUACGACGACGCAGAUCACCUUACCCUGCGCGGCGGCGCAGAUCCCCCUCUCCUGUACGACGACGCAGAUCUCCCUCUCCUGUACGACAACGCAGAUCACCUUCUCCUAUGCGGCGGCGACGUAUAUCACCUUCUCCAAUGCACCUACGUAGAUCCCCAUUGCCUAUUAGACGAAGGUCACCCUUGCCUAUGCAACAGAGAUCUCCUAACAUGCGGCGUAGGUCACCUUCACCGAUGCGCCGAAUGCCACUAAGCCGUGGUCAAAGGUCAAGCUCUCCAAUGCAUUCCCCCGAAGUGCAAAGGCUUGAUAGUCGAAUUCCACGGAAUAGGUCUCCGUCUCCCUUGCGGUAUAGAUCACCUCUUUCUGGUAAGAAAAGAUCUUCAAGUGCCUCCCCUAAGAGGUCUCCUCAAGAUGACUGGAGUUCUCAGUCUCCUGUUCGUGAAUCUCCAUCUCCAGUCAAGAGAACUUUACCAAGACACCAAAGAAGUCCUGUGCAGUCUUCUAUGGGAAGAGUCAGGGUGCAAAAAAAAUUAUCACCGGAAGUUUAUAAACCCUCUAGCCCUUUGCAGUCUAUACAGACAGAUAAAAAUGGCAAAGCUUCGGGCUAUAGAUCACAAGAUUCAAUGUCCACACCAGAGAAGUCUCCAAUUCAAUCAAUAUCACCACAAGCAAUAAGUAAGACUAGCAGUAUAAAUAGAAGUCCACAUGAAAUCCGUCUGAGGCAAAGAGAGAAGUUGAUCAAUGAAGGAAGCUUGAGUCCCCCAAAGAAGCCAACAAACCAUAAACCUAGCCAUGACAUCCCAGAGACAAGUGAAGGAAUGGAAGAAGCAUAUUAUUCUAGAGAGCUUAGAGAUCCUAAAUCAAAUUCAUCUGAAAAGAAAUCAAGACACUCCCCGGUUAGCAAGAGAAUAGGUUCAUCUGCAAAAUUUAAUGACGAGGAUGAGUUUAAUCUUGAAAGGGCAGCUAGUCAUCUGGCCUCUGAGUAUAAUCAGUAUGAUAGCAAUGAAAGGAGUAAGCAAGGCCAGGAUAUUAAAUGUGGUAAAUCUUCUGGCAAGGGAGGUGAGUCUCCUGGUCAACAGAAGUCACCAAUGAGCAAAGAAAUUGUUUCUAGCAAGAAGCCUCAUGAUUCUUAUGAUGCAGAAAUAAAACAAACUGAUGACAAGGAUCAAUCCAACUCAAAAUUUGCCAAAAGUAGUGAUCAGCACCACAAACCAGAAACCACUCAAGAUUUAGUUGGAAAAGUUGACCACAUCAAUCAGAGUGCUUCUUAUGAUUCUGAAGAAAGUGGUAAGCAUAGAAGGGAUGGAAAGGAUAGAAGAAAGCAUAAAAGGUCAGAGAAAAAAGCCGUCUCUUCCAAUGAGAAUGACAGUUAUGAUUCUGAAUUAGAGGACAGGAAAGAGGCAAAGAGGAGGAAAAAGGAAGAGAAGAAGAAGCUGCGAAAAGAGGAGAAGCACCGAAAGCGGGAAGAGAGAAGACGGAAAAGGGAAGAGCGGCAUGCUGGAAAGCUGAAAGUGAAGAGUAAAACAGACACUAUUUCAGAAGAUGAGGAAGCUGAACGAAAGGAUGGUCAUCAAAGUGAUGAUGAAGAAGCACCAUAUGAUCCAAAGAAGCUUGAGAUCGAGUUACGAAAUAAGGCUCUUGAAACCCUCAAAGCAAAGAGGGGCAUGAACAAUUAAAUGCCACACUUCUGCAUUUUAAGUUGUUUUAUGCAUUCAAAACUUCUCGGAAAUAUAUGCUUAGCUUCUUUAAACAUAUGGUUUUACAAAUGUUAAGUUAUGUUGUUUUUUGGUAAAUGUUUGAUGUGGUCUAUCUUUAAUGCUGGCAGCCGAAUUGGAUAAAUGACGAUUUCUGAGCAUAUCUGUUGAGUGCAACUCUAUGCAGACAUUCUUCUAUAUUUACUGAUGAAUUUAUGUCAACUCUAGAUGACCUGGUGAGCAGAACUUGUGCAGACUUAUAUUUUGAACUUCAAAUCAGGUGAAGUUUUAUGACUUACGGAAUUCUCCAAGUUGGUCCACAUUUUGAAGUUGAUGCAGCUGUAUGUAUUGUACAGAUGUGUUGUCAUAUAUGUACUUUGGUUGUGUGCGAGAAUAAAUAAAUAUAUUAUAUUUAUCAUUCUAGUGUGGUUAUCUUAUAUAAUUGUUGCUUUGUAGAACAAAUAUUUAUUUAUGAUUUUCAAGCUUAUUUGCACUUUUUUCUUUA